GACGAACGCUGGCGGCGUGCUUAACACAUGCAAGUCGAACGGAAAGGCCCCUUUGUGGGUACUCGAGUGGCGAACGGGUGAGUAACACGAGAGUAACCUGCCCUUGACUUCGGGAUAACUUCAGGAAACUGGGGCUAAUACCGGAUAGGAAUCCUUGCUGCAUGGUGGGGGUUGGAAAGCUUCGGCGGGUUUGGAUGGACUCGCUGCUUAUCAGCUUGUUGGUGGGGUUGUGGCUUACCAAGGCUUUUGCGGGUAGCCGGCCUGAGGAGGCGACCGGCCACAUUGGGACUGAGGUACGGCCCAGGCACCGACGGGAGGCAGCAGGGGGGAAUAUUGCACGAUGGGCGGAAGCCUGAUGCAGCAACGCCGCGGGCGGGAUGACGGCCUUCGGGUUGUAAACCGCUUUCAGCAGGAGCGAAGCUUGUGGUGACGGUACCUGCAGAAGAAGCACCGGCUAACUACGUG
This 465-nucleotide ribosomal RNA is filed under the name uncultured bacterium. Its description in RNAcentral is "partial 16S ribosomal RNA". It matches the Rfam family "Bacterial small subunit ribosomal RNA", at positions 28 to 507 of the family's 1533-position model. The record is from RNAcentral.